AUUGGAUGGAAACCUGGCCAAACAGCAGGCCUUAUCGCAUAUUCUUACAGCAUUGCAAAUCAUGUAUGCCAGAAAUUCUGCAAUUAUGUGAGCUUCAGGUUUUUGUGAUUUUUUUUUCAUUGAUCAGAUGUCUCCAAGAAUGUUGUAUUGUUGUCUUUAAAUGCUGUGUGUUGUAAGUCACGUGUUCUUUGAUGGUGAUUGAUAUCUUUGUGCAUGUUUUAAUAGGCAUUGAAAUAUGAAUUAGAAAACUAACUUGAACAUUUUCACUAUUCUUUUUGACCAGUAGACUCUAACCAUUAAUAUUUGGGGGAAGAAAAGAAUUAGGUGAUACUAAUUUAUAGUGAUGUCUAAGACGACUUAGCGUCCCCUUCACUCACUUUGAGAAGGCUGUUUUGCCAAUGCAGCAUUUUGCAGUAUUUUUCUGCUGCUUUCCCACAGCCUAGAUAAGUUGCCCAUCUGCUAAUGUAUCACACAUGUGGACCUGACAGGUGUCCUUACAUA
Molecule: long non-coding RNA, 501 nt
Filed under: Homo sapiens (human)
Lineage: Eukaryota; Metazoa; Chordata; Mammalia; Primates; Hominidae
Description: non-protein coding lnc-FAN1-6:2
Source: RNAcentral